Molecule: ribosomal RNA, 788 nt
Filed under: uncultured bacterium
Lineage: Bacteria
Description: bacterial SSU rRNA
Rfam family: Bacterial small subunit ribosomal RNA
Source: RNAcentral
AGAGUUUGAUCCUGGCUCAGGAUGAACGCUAGCGGGAGGCCUAACACAUGCAAGCCGAGCGGUAGAGAUYYUUCGGRAUCUUGAGAGCGGCGUACGGGUGCGGAACACGUGUGCAACCURCCUUUAUCAGGGGGAUAGCCUUUCGAAAGGAAGAUUAAUACCCCAUAAUAUAUUGAAUGGCAUCAUUURAUAUUGAAAACUCCGGUGGAUAGAGAUGGGCACGCGCAAGAUUAGAUAGUUGGUAGGGUAACGGCCUACCAAGUCARUGAUCUUUAGGGGGCCUGAGAGGGUGAUCCCCCACACUGGUACUGAGACACGGACCAGACUCCUACGGGAGGCAGCAGUGAGGAAUAUUGGACAAUGGGUGAGAGCCUGAUCCAGCCAUCCCGCGUGAAGGACGACGGCCCUAUGGGUUGUAAACUUCUUUUGUAUAGGGAUAAACCUWYYCWCGUGWGRRWAGCUGAAGGUACUAUACGAAUAAGCACCGGCUAACUCCGUGCCAGCAGCCGCGGUAAUACGGAGGGUGCRAGCGUUAUCCGGAUUUAUUGGGUUUAAAGGGUCCGUAGGCGGAUCUGUAAGUCAGUGGUGAAAUCUCAUAGCUUAACUAUGAAACUGCCAUUGAUACUGCAGGUCUUGAGUAAAGUAGAAGUGGCUGGAAUAAGUAGUGUAGCGGUGAAAUGCAUAGAUAUUACUUAGAACACCAAUUGCGAAGGCAGGUCACUAUGUUUUAACUGACGCUGAUGGACGAAAGCGUGGGGAGCGAACAGGAUUAGAUACCCUGGUAGUCC